GAUGAACGCUGGCGGCGUGCCUAACACAUGCAAGUCGAACGACCACACAAGGAGCUUUCUCCUCUGACUUUCGCGUCGGGCGGGUGAGUAACACGCAGCUAACUCUGCUCUGUCAUUGGGGUUACUUCGGGAAACCUUACCUUAUUCCCGCUUAUAUAUUUCGCCUCAUGGUUCAAUAUUGCAAGACGUUUUUGCUUUCACUUAUCCGUUGAUGCACGCCGCAUUAGCUAGUUGGUUAGGUAACGGCUUACCAAGGCAACGAUUCGUAGCCGAUCUGAGAGGAUGAUCAGCCACACUGGAACUGAGACACGGUCCAGACUCCUACGGGAGGCAGCAGUAGGGAAUAUUCGGCAAUGGGCGAAAGCCUGACGGAGCAACGCCGCGUGAGUGAUGAAGGCCUUCGGAUCGUAAAACUCUGUUAUUAGGGAAGAAAAAAUGUAUAAGUAAAUAUUCACGGGAUGACGGUACCUAAACAGAAAGCCACGGCUAACUACGUG
This 497-nucleotide ribosomal RNA is filed under the name uncultured bacterium. RNAcentral's name for it is "partial 16S ribosomal RNA". It matches the Rfam family "Bacterial small subunit ribosomal RNA", at positions 28 to 507 of the family's 1533-position model. The record is from RNAcentral.